RNAcentral lists this ribosomal RNA (402 nucleotides) under Verrucomicrobiota bacterium. Its description in RNAcentral is "Verrucomicrobia bacterium partial 16S ribosomal RNA". It matches the Rfam family "Bacterial small subunit ribosomal RNA", at positions 355 to 776 of the family's 1533-position model. The record is from RNAcentral. Lineage: Bacteria; Pseudomonadati; Verrucomicrobiota.
UGGGGAAUAUUGCACAAUGGGGGAAACCCUGAUGCAGCGACGCCGCGUGAGCGAAGAAGGUUUUCGAAUCGUAAAGCCCUGUCCUAUGAGAAGAUAAUGACGGUAUCAUAGGAGGAAGCCCCGGCUAAAUACGUGCCAGCAGCCGCGGUAAUACGUAUGGGGCGAGCGUUGUCCGGAAUUAUUGGGCGUAAAGGGUACGUAGGCGGUCUAUUAGUCAGGUGUGAAAGCGUGAGGCUUAACCUCAUUAAGCACUUGAAACUGAUAGCAUUGAGUGAAGGAGAGGAAAGUGGAAUUCCUAGUGUAGCGGUGAAAUGCGUAGAUAUUAGGAGGAAUACCGGUGGCGAAGGCGACUUUCUGGACUUUUACUGACGCUCAGGUACGAAAGCGUGGGGAGCAAACAGG